GUGGGGAAUAUUGGACAAUGGGGGGAACCCUGAUCCAGCCAUGCCGCGUGUGUGAAGAAGGCCUUUUGGUUGUAAAGUACUUUAAGCGAGGAGGAGGCUACCGAGAUUAAUACUCUUGGAUAGUGGACGUUACUCGCAGAAUAAGCACCGGCUAACUCUGUGCCAGCAGCCGCGGUAAUACAGAGGGUGCAAGCGUUAAUCGGAUUUACUGGGCGUAAAGCGCGCGUAGGUGGCCAAUUAAGUCAAAUGUGAAAUCCCCGAGCUUAACUUGGGAAUUGCAUUCGAUACGGGUUGGCUAGAGUAUGGGAGAGGAUGGUAGAAUUCCAGGUGUAGCGGUGAAAUGCGUAGAGAUCUGGAGGAAUACCGAUGGCGAAGGCAGCCUUCUGGCCUAACACUGACGCUGAGGUGCGAAAGCAUGGGGAGCAAACAGGAUUAGAUACCCUGUGUAGUCC
Molecule: ribosomal RNA, 452 nt
Filed under: uncultured bacterium
Lineage: Bacteria
Description: partial 16S ribosomal RNA
Rfam family: Bacterial small subunit ribosomal RNA
Source: RNAcentral